GCGAGUUUAGCUCAGUUGGUAGAGCGCUACCUUGCCAAGGUCGAGGUCACGAGUUCGAAUCUCGUAACUCGCUCCA
RNAcentral lists this transfer RNA (76 nucleotides) under Alishewanella sp. RNAcentral describes it as "tRNA-Gly". It matches the Rfam family "tRNA". From Rfam's summary of the family: Transfer RNA (tRNA) molecules are approximately 80 nucleotides in length. Their secondary structure includes four short double-helical elements and three loops (D, anti-codon, and T loops). The record is from RNAcentral. Lineage: Bacteria; Pseudomonadati; Pseudomonadota; Gammaproteobacteria; Alteromonadales; Alteromonadaceae. RNAcentral also lists the same sequence under 6 other names.